AUGAACUGUUAAAAUGAAAAUCUCCAAACUGUAUCUGUUGGUGUUAAUUUCUGAGACUUCUUCUCUACAGAUUUGGAUUACAAAACAUAAGCAUCGUUUGUCUGACUUUUUCCUUUAUCCAGAGGAUAUACAGAGGCUGAAAAGCAUGUAUACUUCCUGACUCAGAGCACACCAGAGAACAGGAAUCAGGAAAUCAACAACAAGGCCUCCAAUCUCCUAGAGGAACCGUCACACGCUGUGGAAGUAAAACCUGGGACAUUUUUCCACUUGGGGAGCUCUAAGUCGCCACCCAAAUCGUGUUUACUUUGUUAGUUUUGCAUGUGUGUGUGGUGUGUGUAUGAGGGAGAGAUCAUAAAAGCUACUCUUAGCCAUUAUAGAACAAAAAAAUACUGAGAAAACAAAAAUCAAUAAAAACAAGUUAAUGUCCCGAGGCA
This 434-nucleotide long non-coding RNA is filed under the name Felis catus (domestic cat). RNAcentral describes it as "lncRNA (ENSFCAG00000041206.2)". Lineage: Eukaryota; Metazoa; Chordata; Mammalia; Carnivora; Felidae. The record is from RNAcentral.